ACGCUGGCGGCAGGCUUAACACAUGCAAGUCGAACGGUAACAGGAAUUAGCUUGCUAAUUUGCUGACGAGUGGCGGACGGGUGAGUAAUGCUUGGGAAUCUGGCUUAUGGAGGGGGAUAACUACGGGAAACUGUAGCUAAUACCGCGUAAAAUCUUCGGAUUAAAGGGUGGGACUUUCGAGCCACCUGCCAUGAGAUGAGCCCAAGUGGGAUUAGGUAGUUGGUUAGGUAAAGGCUGACCAAGCCGACGAUCUCUAGCUGGUCUGAGAGGAUGACCAGCCACACUGGAACUGAGACACGGUCCAGACUCCUACGGGAGGCAGCAGUGGGGAAUAUUGCACAAUGGGGGGAACCCUGAUGCAGCCAUGCCGCGUGAAUGAAGAAGGCCUUCGGGUUGUAAAGUUCUUUCGGUGACGAGGAAGGUUGAUAGGUUAAUAGCCUAUCAAAUUGACGUUAAUCACAGAAGAAGCACCGGCUAACUCCGUGCCAGCAGCCGCGGUAAUACGGGGGGUGCGAGCGUUAAUCGGAAUAACUGGGCGUAAAGGGCACGCAGGCGGUGACUUAAGUGAGAUGUGAAAGCCCCGAGCUUAACUUGGGAAUUGCAUUUCAUACUGGGUCGCUAGAGUACUUUAGGGAGGGGUAGAAUUCCACGUGUAGCGGUGAAAUGCGUAGAGAUGUGGAGGAAUACCGAAGGCGAAGGCAGCCCCUUGGGAAUGUACUGACGCUCAUGUGCGAAAGCGUGGGGAGCAAACAGGAUUAGAUACCCUGGUAGUCCACGCUGUAAACGAUGUCGAUUUGGGGAUUGGGCUUUGAGCUUGGUGCCCGUAGCUAACGUGAUAAAUCGACCGCCUGGGGAGUACGGCCGCAAGGUUAAAACUCAAAUGAAUUGACGGGGGCCCGCACAAGCGGUGGAGCAUGU
RNAcentral lists this ribosomal RNA (918 nucleotides) under uncultured bacterium. Its description in RNAcentral is "bacterial SSU rRNA". It matches the Rfam family "Bacterial small subunit ribosomal RNA", at positions 33 to 942 of the family's 1533-position model. The record is from RNAcentral.